RNAcentral lists this ribosomal RNA (450 nucleotides) under uncultured bacterium. RNAcentral's name for it is "partial 16S ribosomal RNA". It matches the Rfam family "Bacterial small subunit ribosomal RNA", at positions 354 to 796 of the family's 1533-position model. The record is from RNAcentral.
GUGGGGAAUAUUCCGCAAUGGACGAAAGUCUGACGGAGCAACGCCGCGUGAGUGAUGAAGGUUUUCGGACUGUAAAGCUCUGUUGUUUAGGACGAAAGUGCCUGUUGCAAACAGUUACAGGUAUUGACGGUACUAAACGAGGAAGCUACGGCUAACUACGUGCCAGCAGCCGCGGUAAUACGUAGGUGGCAAGCGUUGUCCGGAAUUAUUGGGCGUAAAGAGCAUGUAGGCGGGAAUCUAAGUCUGUUGUGAAAAUGCGGGGCUCAACCCCGUAUUGCGAUGGAAACUGGGUUUCUUGAGUGCAGGAGAGGAAAGGGGAAUUCCCAGUGUAGCGGUGAAAUGCGUAGAUAUUGGGAGGAACACCAGUGGCGAAGGCGCCUUUCUGGACUGUGUCUGACGCUGAGAUGCGAAAGCCAGGGUAGCGAACGGGAUUAGAUACCCCAGUAGUCC